Molecule: transfer RNA, 66 nt
Filed under: Mactra antiquata
Lineage: Eukaryota; Metazoa; Mollusca; Bivalvia; Venerida; Mactridae
Description: tRNA-Asn
Source: RNAcentral
UAAAUCUUAGUUUAUUUAGAACGGUCGAUUGUUACUCGAUAGGAAGGUUUAGGUACCUAGGUUUAG